Molecule: ribosomal RNA, 1127 nt
Filed under: uncultured fungus
Lineage: Eukaryota; Fungi
Description: eukaryotic LSU rRNA
Rfam family: Eukaryotic large subunit ribosomal RNA (bases 532-1127)
Source: RNAcentral
GAUCAUUAGUGAAAUUUGGCUGUCUCUUUACCGAGAAGCUGUCUUCCACUCUUUACCCUGUGAACUGUCAUCUGCCCUGCUUGUUAAGGCAUGAUGUAAAACAACCUUUACCUUUUUUAACGCAAGUUGAUGAAUGUGAACUUUUAUAACAAAUAAAAACUUUCAACAACGGAUCUCUUGGCUCUCACAUCGAUGAAGAACGCAGCGAAAUGUGAUAAGUAAUGUGAAUUGCAGAAUUCAGUGAAUCAUCGAAUCUUUGAACGCACCUUGCGCUCCUUGGUAUUCCGAGGAGCAUGUCUGUUCGAGUGUUAUGAAAUCUUCAACCCAACCUUUUCCUUGUGAUCAGGAUUGGUGCUUGGUUCGUGGGUGUUGUGCCGGCCUUUACGCCUGGCUCGCCCGAAAUACAUUAGCAGUUUCGGCUUCAGAAACUUGGCUUGACUUGGCGUGAUAGAUAUUUCGCUGAGGACAACUCCUUGAGGGUUGGCCAGUUCUUUAGAAGAAGGCUUCCAAUGAACCCCAAUUUCUACAUUUUGACCUCGAAUCAGAUAGGACUACCCGCUGAACUUAAGCAUAUCANUAAGCGGAGGAAAAGAAACUAACANGGAUUCCCCUAGUAACGGCGAGUGAAGCGGGAAGAGCCCAAAUUUAUAAUCUGGCACCUUCGGUGSCCGAGUUGUAAUCUCGAGAAGUGUCUUCUGUGUKGGCUCGCAUGUAAGUCUGUUGGAAUACAGCGUCAUAGUGGUGAGAACCCCGUACGCAAUGCGAAUCCCAAUGCUCUGUGAUACACUUUCGAAGAGUCGAGUUGUUUGGGAAUGCAGCUCAAAAUGGGAGGUAAAUUCCUUCUAAAGCUAAAUAUUGGUGAGAGACCGAUAGCAAACAAGUACCGUGAGGGAAAGAUGAAAAGCACUUUGGAAAGAGAGUUAACAGUACGUGAAAUUGUUGAAAGGGAAACGCUUGAAGUCAGACUUGCUGUUCGGAUUUAUUCGUUCUGCAGGCCAGCAUCAGUUUCCGAGGGUAGAAAAGGGUGAGUUGAACGUGGCAGUUUCGGCUGUGUUAUAGCUUCUCACUGGACCUGCCUUUGGGGACUGAGGUACGCAGCACGCUUUUUGCGAGGUCCUCGGACCCUU